This 795-nucleotide ribosomal RNA is filed under the name Frondihabitans sp. Its description in RNAcentral is "bacterial SSU rRNA". It matches the Rfam family "Bacterial small subunit ribosomal RNA", at positions 622 to 1412 of the family's 1533-position model. The record is from RNAcentral. Lineage: Bacteria; Bacillati; Actinomycetota; Actinomycetes; Micrococcales; Microbacteriaceae.
UGCAGUGGGUACGGGCAGACUAGAGUGCGGUAGGGGAGAUUGGAAUUCCUGGUGUAGCGGUGGAAUGCGCAGAUAUCAGGAGGAACACCGAUGGCGAAGGCAGAUCUCUGGGCCGUANACUGACGCUGAGGAGCGAAAGCAUGGGGAGCGAACAGGAUUAGAUACCCUGGUAGUCCAUNGCCGUAAACGUUGGGCGCUAGAUGUAGGGACCAUUCCACGGUUUCUGUGUCNGCAGCUAACGCAUUAAGCGCCCCGCCUGGGGAGUACGGCCGCAAGGCUAAAACUCAAAGGAAUUGACGGGGGCCCGCACAAGCGGCGGAGCAUGCGGAUUAAUUCGAUGCAACGCGAAGAACCUUACCAAGGCUUGACAUAUACCGGAAACNGCCAGAAAUGGUNGCCCCGCAAGGUCGGUAUACAGGUGGUGCAUGGUUGUCGUCAGCUCGUGUCGUGAGAUGUUGGGUUAAGUCCCGCAACGAGCGCAACCCUCGUUCUAUGUUGCCAGCACGUAAUGGUGGGAACUCAUAGGAGACUGCCGGGGUCAACUCGGAGGAAGGUGGGGAUGACGUCAAAUCAUCAUGCCCCUUAUGUCUUGGGCUUCACGCAUGCUACAAUGGCCGGUACAAAAGGGCUGCGAUACCGUAAGGUGGAGCGAAUCCCAAAAAGCCGGUCUCAGUUCGGAUUGAGGUCUGCAACUCGACCUCAUGAAGUCGGAGUCGCUAGUAAUCGCAGAUCAGCAACGCUGCGGUGAAUACGUUCCCGGGCCUUGUACACACCGCCCGUCAAGUCAUGAAAGUC